RNAcentral lists this transfer RNA (77 nucleotides) under Pseudomonas sp. RNAcentral's name for it is "tRNA-Ile". It matches the Rfam family "tRNA". From Rfam's summary of the family: Transfer RNA (tRNA) molecules are approximately 80 nucleotides in length. Their secondary structure includes four short double-helical elements and three loops (D, anti-codon, and T loops). The record is from RNAcentral. Lineage: Bacteria; Pseudomonadati; Pseudomonadota; Gammaproteobacteria; Pseudomonadales; Pseudomonadaceae.
AGGUCCGUAGCUCAGUUGGUUAGAGCGCACCCCUGAUAAGGGUGAGGUCGGUGGUUCGAAUCCACUCGGACCUACCA